AAGAAAACAAGGAAAAAGAAAAGGAUGAUGAUGAAAUGAAGCCCACAAACAUGUCUUGAUUGAUCACGAACCGUUUGAUUCGAUUACUUAGACUUGAAGGGAAUGGCUCUGAUUACAACCACGUGGUAGAGUGCUGCAAGAGCUGCUCCAAUAAAUGGUCCCACCCAGAAGAUCCACUGCAAGAAUAAUAAUAAUUAAUGAACACACAAGACAAAUGAGAUAGAAAAUUCAGAAAAACAAAUAUAUAAUUUUACAAAAACAAUUUUUCAACUUACGUGAUCAUCCCAACCAAGGUCCUUGUUGAAGAUAAUAGCAGCACCAAGACUACGAGCAGGGUUAAUACCAGUUCCAGUAAUUGGGAUAGUGGCCAAGUGAACCAAGAACACAGCGAACCCAAUUGGCAAUGGUGCCAAAAUCUACUCAUAAAAUAAGUCACACAAAUAAUAAUAAGUUAUGAUUUUAAUUUCUAUAUAGUUAUUAAGUGUAUAUGAUUAAAGUCAAAUGUUUAUAAUAAUUCGACGGUUAUGAUUGAUUGACAACGUAAAAAAAACUUACGGGAACAUGAGAGUCUCUAGCGCUACGUUUAGCAUCGGUGGCUGAGAAGACGGUGUAAACAAGAAUGAAAGUGCCAACAAUUUCAGCACCAAGACCAUCACCUUUGGUGUAACCAGGAGCAACAAAGUUGGCACCACCUUUCAGAUCUCCAAAUCUUGUCUUUCCUUCAAAACCUUUCACAACACCAGCACCACAAAUAGCACCCAAACAUUGCAUCACCAUGUAGAACAAUGCUCUUGUCAAUGACAAUUUCCUUGCCAAAAAUAGCCCAAAUGUGACUGCUGGAUUUAUGUGACCACCUGCAUCACACAGAGUACAUAAUUUUAGAUCAAAACCAAACUAACAUUAGAUAGAUACAUUUAAUUACUUUUGUUUUAUCAAAUUAUUUAUUUUUGUUGUAAUAUUUUAUCAAAAUUAUUAUGAAUAUGUCCUUAUCAUGGUAGUUGUUACUUGUCAGUGUCACUAGCACAUAGUUUAUGUUAUUCUUUUAAUUUAACUUUAGGUGAGCUUAUCUUAACUACACAAAAAACUGCUAAUAUAUUAAAGUUAAAUAUGAUUUUAAUCUCUAUAAAAUUACACUUUCUUAAAUUUCAUUCAAACUGGUCCAUAGGAACAACUAAUUUAGACCUAUAACAGAAAAAUAGAAAUAAAAAUUGAACAAAAUUUAUGAAUAAACUAACCUUAAAAAUAUUAUAAGUACUAAAAACAGAAAAUAUUAUAUUCUAUACCUGAGAUUCCAGCAGUACAGUAAACAAGAGCAAAGAUCAUGCCACCAAAAGCCCAAGCAAUUCCUUGAAUACCCACAGUCUUACACUUAGAAUCAGCUCUAACAACACCCAUAACAGUCAAAACAGUGAUAUAAAGAAAAAGGAAAGUAGCAACGAACUCAGCUAUCCCAGCUCUGUAGAAAGACCAUGAAGUGAGUUCAGAUGGCUCAAACAAAGGUGCUGGUGGUGGCUCUUGAUAGUCCUUAGGGUCAUCUUGGCUUUGAGCUGCUAUCCCAAGUGGUUGUCUUUCUGGGAAUUUGUUGGCUCCUAGAGACACAUCCUGUUCUUUAGCUUCCAUUUUUGUUCUUAGGUUUGGGGUUUUGGAUUGUGUACUUGUGUUUUGUUUGUUGUGUGAGUGAAGAGAUAAGAAGCGGAUUUAUAAGAGGAAUUGAUUUGAGUUAAUGGAAGUGUGUGGGUCCUACGAUGUGUUUUUUUAAUGAUUUUGUUGAUAGGAGGGACCAGUUGUGAAGGGUUUGUCCUAGCUGGCGGGAUUCUAACCACUUAUGGUAAGACCCACCAUGUUCCGCGCAGUACUGGAACGGGGAUUACUUUGCUGUUCCAAGAGAAAUAGUUUUCCUUCUAAUAUUUCAAAAUGUUUGAUGAAAAUGAUAUUAACCCAAAUGAAGGAAGUAAUAAGUGAUGAAAAUGAUUUUCCUUCUAAUAUUUAUGUAUGAAACAAAUACAUAAAUUCUGGUCCAAUUUCCACGUGUAUUUCAAGGGAGUUAAUUAUGUUGGGCGGUGGACAUUGUCAAAGUGGCUUACGUCUCUGAAUUGACACGUGUUGCUAGAAAUUGUUGUGUAAUUAUGCAUUGCAUUUAACAGUCGAUUUCGUGAAUUAUAAAUGAGCACACAAUAAUCCUUUUUUUUUUCUUAUUGUAGGCGGCUACCAUUACUGUGAUGUGACGAAAGCGAUCACUUGGUUUUGUUUGUUUAUAAAUGGGAUGAAUCAAAGUAGAUUUAUAUAUUAUUAUGAUCAUGAUUUUCAUGUUAAUAACACCAAAAAUCACUUGUAAAUUUAAAAUACCUUGCUUGAAUUACAAUUUAUUGAAACUAAUAGUUAAUGAUAUCUACAAAAGACAAUUUUUUUAAGUGGUUAAUCAACUUUUACAAGGGCGAAUUGUUUAGGAAAAAUUGACUCCAGUCCAAACAAAUAAUUUUAUAAAAAAAACUUGAAGAGAGAAAACAAUCCCAUAAUUUUUGAAGAAAAAAAUACGAUUCCAUAAUUUGGCUGAUGAUUUACAUUAAUAAUCUGAGCAAUGAUAUAGAUGUGGUUUUCUGAAUGUUUUUUUUUUUUGGAGAAUUAUGAAUGUUGUUUGUAAGCUUUAUAAGCAGAUUGAUGUUGUAAUUUAAAAAUGAUUAAUGUUGCAACUUAUUGUUCGUUUAUAUGUAAUUCUCCAAUUCAUAAUAUAUAAAAUAUAUUUUGUAAAUUUGUACGUAAAAAACAUGGUUGGCACAAGGCUGUCAAAAAUUAACUAAUCUCAAAUAAUAGUAUUUGCUAAUUAUCAAGUAGAAUUGUUCAUUUCCUGAAAGAGAGAAAAAAAAUAGAAUUAUUCAUAUUUUUCUCAUCACGAGGAUAGUAGCCUUUUGGUAUUUUUGUUUUGUUUUUAUCAUCAUGGAUGAGACAAUGAUUAAGUCUAAUUAAAACAGCCUUAAAAAUCUUGAAGUACUAGCUUAACUGGUAAAAUGACGAAAUUGUUAGAUCGAAUGUCAUGAUUGGGGUUCGGACCCCGAUACCUUCACUUGUGUGUGUGAGUUUAUAAUGACUUUGUCAUUUCGUAGAUCUACCAAAAAAAAUACACCCUUAAAAAAAGCUUAAUUAAAUACAAUUGAGAUACCAUCACUGCAUACAAACAAUAGCAGCUUUCGUUUUCGCAGUUGGAUUAUAAAAGCUUUAUCUUUGGGCAAUAGAUAAAUAAGUUGUUAUCCCAAAAGCACAUGAAACAAUUUAAAUAUUCUUGGUGCAUUAUUAUACUAAUCGUAUUAUACCUAAUGCACAUUUGUUUAGUAUCUUGAUUAGUCUAGAUGACUUGUCUAGAUAACAUUGAUUAAUAAAAUCAAAUGGUUCUUUAUAAUUUUAAUCAAUUAAUUGUGAGCCAAAAUUUUUGGUAUCUUUUGCAAUAUUUCAUCAUCAUUCUACUCUGGCAGAAAGCAAUAGGUUAGAGAGGAACACUCCAGGAAGAUUUUGGGUGGCAGGCCCCCCUCAUAUAUCCUUUAUGUCUUUUCUGUUAUUUGAUUUGAAAACUUAAACUAGAAACAUUUACAAAAAUAGCUAAGCAGCUCAGAUCACAAAUUGGUAAUUCGCAUCAUGCUUUCCGUUUAAGUGUGGUGAUUACAGUUCCACUCUGAUAGUUUGACAAAUUACUGUUUUCCAUAGUAAAAUGAUGCCUUUGAGAUUUAAACAUGUUAUUAACGCUAACAACUACUUUAAAAACCCUUGUUAAAGAAGUAAUUAUGGCAUGAGUACUGAUAUUUGAACAACUAUUUUUUACAACUAUUAUAACAACUUCUUUUUCCUCUCUUUCUAUUGGUCAAAAACAAGGGAGAGAAAAAGGAAGAGGAAGAAUAAAAACAUAGUAUGAGUAUGAAAGAGAGAGUUGUCAAGAAAUUAUCGUAAAAUGGUUGUGCAAAUAUCAUUUUUCUUAUAGCAGUACGGUACUAUUAGCACAUAUAGUCUAGUGGUUUGGCCGAAAUCAACAGGAGAUAAUCCUUUUCCAUCAUAUCAACUUCUUGUUCACACAAUCUCUAACAUUCACUCUCUAACUAGGUGGAAGUCGUGUGGGUUCACACUUAAGAAAUAUAUUUCACAUAAACGAUGAAAUCUUGAGUUUCUCUCGCUAAAAAAAUGACUAUUAAAGAGUAUGUUCCUAACAUUUUUUAUUGAUUGAAAUUUGAUGAUUAGACACCAAAGUAAAAGAAAAGAUAAGAGUUGUUUUUAGAUGGUCAAUAUUCGUAUUUUAUUUGUUUCAUUUGAAUGAAUAAGUGUAAGAAAUUGUUUAUAUAUGAGAAAUUGUGGCUCUUCUUCAUGCAUAUGUAAUAUGUAUAAUACUGAAUAAUGAUGAUAUAUUCUCGAAAAACGGCUAUGUGGUCUCUUUCAAUUUGAGGAAGCAUACCACAUAUUUGAUUAGUUGUGUGGGUAUAAAACUUUACGAGGUGAACAAAUGAAGUUUUUUCAGAGGAGAAACAAAUGAUCUAGCUGAAUGAUUAUUUUCGGUAGUAAAUAAAUAAAUAAAAACUAUGCAAAGUGCCAAACUGGGCGGUUAUUUUUCUCCAGAUUAUAAUAUAUCGUUCUUGAACAACUAGUGACCCAACACCAAAUGUUAUAUUUUUGUCAUAAAACACUAAAUGUUAAAUUAUACUACGUCAAUUAUUAGUCAUAUAUAAAUUAGUCAAAUGAAACCGUCUAUGCAAUUAGGGCCACAGGUUUUUUUUUCCUUCAUAAAUCAAGCCACACUAUCCUAUGUCAUGCGAUAACUUAUAAAAUGCCCUAAUUCGCCUCCAAUAUUUCACAGAAUUUCUUUGGAAGUAAGCAAAAGUUGCUUAUGAAUUUGCAAGUACAUACAUGGUUCUGUUACUAUACUAUAUAUCUGUAUAAGGGAACUAUAUUUUAUUUCCUUACCUUGCCUUCAUCAACCAAUUACUGUGUAAAAGAAGGAAGAGAUUAGGCUGUAUCGGUUUAAUUUUUCAAGGAUUAUGUUAAAAUAUAUUCUUAUUUUCCUAUGGAACUAAACUGGACUUCAAAUAUUUUUCAAAGAAUAAAACGAGUCUUCACUCAAAUAUAAACUAUAGAUAUUGUAUUUAUAGUUGUUUUUGUUUGCGUUAUUUUUCAUUUAGAGGAUGGUGGAGAUAGAGAGUGAGAAAGAGAUUGUUAUGGUGUGAGAAUGAGAGUUAUGUUUAUUCUCCUAUACUUUUGAUGUUGGAAAUUAUAAACACACAUAUAUGUAGAUGUCAUUUCCCUCUUUCUUUAUUAACUUCUUUUUAAUCGAAGAAAUGAUAAUAUACAUUGAAAAUCAUGUACAUAAAGGGAUGAGUUAGGUCUCUAACUCUAACCACGAUGUUUCAUAUAACAACUUUUGACAUUUUUUUAUAGGUGAGUUAGGACUUAUGAAUUGUUUGUUACUAUUUCUUUUUUUAAAAUAUGAUUAGAAAUAAUCAAUAAAAUAUCGAAAAAUAAAGAAAUUAAAAUAGAACCGCUAAGGCUCUGUUUGGUAAAAAUAGCGGAUAGCUGAUAAGUUAGCUGAUAGCUUUUAGCUGAUAAACUAACUGAAGUGUUUGGUAAAAAUAGCGGUUCAACUAGCUGAUAAAUGUAAAAUGACAUAAAGGUUAUUCUUAAUUCAUAAUAAAAAUUAUAUCAUUAAUUUAAGUAUUUGUAAUUUUGUGAACUAAUUUUUCUUUAAAAAAAUACUUUAAAUUUAUUAAUUUAAUAUAUCCUAUGUAUUAUAAAUUAAAUUAAAUUUUAUUCACUAAAAUUUUAUCUUAUAUUUAUUAUCAUUUAAGUGUUUCCACUUUAUAAAGAAAAUAACAUUUACCUCAAAAACAAAAAAAAAAGUUAGCACUAAUAGAGUAAUACUAAUAACAGAAAAUAAAGAAAAUAACACUUACCUCAAAAAAAAAAAAAGUAACACUAAUAGAAUAAUAGUAUUUUGUUUCCUAAAAAAAAAACGAAGGUAUAUAUUUUAUCAAAAAAAAAAAAAAAGGCCAACUGAUAUAUAUACAAAAAUUGGAAUAAAGGGAUAGUAGUCUUUAUUGCGUAGCUAUUAUAAAAAUUAUAAUGGAUAAAAAUACAAUUUAAAUGAAAUAAUAAGGGUAAAAUUGGAAGAAAAAGUGAGAAGCUAUAAGCUAUAAGCUCAAACGCUACUUGGAAUAGCUUCUGAAAAAUAGCUUAUAAGCUCGUGAAAUAAGCUAUAAGCUCAUGGUGAAAAAGUGUUACCAAACAGAGUUUUUUUUGUCAAACGAGCUUAUAAGCUAAAAGCUAAAAGCUCUUUUUUGGGAUUUUCCAAACAGACCCUAAGGCUCUGUUUGGUAAAAAUAGCGGAUAGCUGAUAAGUUAGCUGAUAGCUUUUAGCUGAUAAGCUAGCUGAUAGCUUUUAGCUGAUAAGCUAGCUGAUAGCUGAUAAGCUAACUGAAGUGUUUGGUAAAAUUAGCGGUUCAACUAGCUUAUAAACGUAAAAUGACAUAAAAGGGUAUUUUUAAUUCAUUAUAAAAUUUGUAUCAAUUGAUAUUUAAAAUAUUUAAAAUUUCAUAGUUUAAAUAUAUUAAUCUAAUAUGUCUUUCAUAUGUUAUUUUUAAAUUCAUAAAUUGGCUAAUGUUUUAUUUAAAAUUGAUUUUAUUUCAAUUUUUAGACCUUAUAAAAAAAUUAAACAAAACCUUUAAAAAAAAUUAAUUGUUACCCACUAAAACAAAAUUAAACGUAAUUGAUCCAAAAUCAAACAAAAUUUUGUUUUUAGACUUAAAAACAAAAUUAAACGUAUUAACCCAAAAUCAAACAAAAUUUUGUUUUUAGACUUAAAAACAAAAUUAAACAUAACGUAAUAUGAUUUAUUAAGGCAAACGUAACAUAUAUUUUUUUAAGAAAAAAUGUAGUUUUUAUUUUUGUAAACAUGAGCAUAUAUUUUGUAAAAAUAAAUAAAAGCGUGAGCAUAUAUAUUUAGUUAAAGUGAAACCUGGGAUUAAAAGUGUUAUGUUUUUCUUCAACGUAGUUAUUUAUUACAAAGGGUAGAUAUGAAUUUUUGUUAUAUUGAUAAGGGUAAAAAUGAGACAAAAAAUGAGAAGUUAUAAGCUAUAAGCUCAAACGCUACUUGGAAUAGCUUCUGAAAAAUAGCUUAUAAGCUCGUGAAAUAAGCUAUAAGCUCAUGGUCAAAAAGUGUUACCAAACAGAGCUUUUUUUUAUGAAACGAGCUUAUAAGCUAUAAGCUAAGAGCUAAAAGCUCUUUUUUUUGGUUUACCAAACAGACCUAAAUGGUCUAAAAAUAAAAGAAUAUGAAUUAUAUGCAGGAUACCUUUGACUUAUAUGGUCAAUCUGAAGAACCACUAACUAGCAUUCUAACAGGAUAGUAUAGCUAACUUUUAUAUUUAACUCCCCUGGUUAGAAUGUGUUUACUAUAUAGAAAAAUACCAACAACAUAAAAAUGUUGGAAAAAUAUCGGUAUAAAAAGAUUCUUUUUUUUUGUUACAGAAAUUUUAGAGUGAGGGGAUGGUGCCUCAGUCCAAGGCAGGGAAACAUUUACCUCCCUUCAAAGACACUAGCGGGGCUCGAAUCCAGAUUCUCUCGAAUUCAAGACGUAUCAUUUUACCACUAGACCAAGCCUUUAGAGUUGGUAUAAAAAGACUAUGAAAUGUCAUAAACACAUCGGCCAAAAAAAGGAUUAAUAAUUCAUUUUCUUUACAGCUAUAAUAAUUUAAAGGUUUAAUUAUAUAAAUGGUCUCUUAAGUAAUUAUGAAAUUUCAAUUUAGUCCCUUUAUUAAUUUUCGCCCUCAAUUUGAUCUUUUAAAUUACUUCCGUCCAUCAACUAAAUUCAUUCUGUUAAAACCAUGUGAAAAAAAGUUAACAUUCAUCUCUCCUUCAUCAUGUUCAUCAUCAAAUCCAGCAACAUUCAUCAUCUUCAUUAAUAAACCUAGAAAAAUUUAUCAUCAAAACCCAACAAAACAAAAAAACCUAAAAUUAACAAAUUUAAACCCAUAAAUUCAAACACCAAAUAACAAAUUAAAUAUUUACCAAGCUUCCUCCAACAUCAACAAAUAAAAGCUUCACCAAAAAAUAUCAAAAAAAUAUCUUCUUCGUCAUCCAAAAUUAACACAAAUUUAAAUCAAAAAAUUGUAACAAUUUCUCGUCGCCAUCAAAAUCUACCGGAAAUCAAGCUUCACCAACAACAUCAGUAAGCAAUUAAGUGGUGGGAAUUUGAAGUCAAUCAAGGAACCGUCACCCAUGAUCCCAAUAAAAGAAUCAACACUGAGAAAAUCAAAGGCAAACCAAAUUCAUCAAAACCACAACAACCCACCAACAUCAUUAUUCUUUUUUUAGAUUUCUUUCUAUUCUCUCUCACGCACAAAAAAAAUUCAAUUUGGUUUUUAUUCUUGCUCUUCUCUUGUUCAUAUAUUUUCUUUUUGACGGAUUGCUCACAGUUAUUCUUAGAAGGAGAGAUGAAUGUUAAUUUUUUUUUCACAAGAUUUAACAGAAUGGAUUUAAUUGAUGGACGGAGGUAAUUUAAAGGGCCAAUUUAGAACGAAAAUUAAUAAAAGGAUCAAAUUGAAAUUUUAUAAUUAUUUAAGGAACCAUUUAUAUAAUUAAGCCUAAUUUAAAAUAUCACUAAAGUUAAAAAUAAUGAAUUUUGCUCAAUCAUUCAUUCUUUUUAAUGGAUGGAAGCUAAAAUGCCAAUGAGACAAGCAAACAAUUUGAAUUUUGAUUAAUCAUUCGUUAUUUUUAUGAAUUGAAGCUAAGAUGUCAAUUAUGAUAAAAAAGAUUGAAUUUUAUUUAACAAUCUAUUAUCUUUAGGGAGAAGCUAAUUAGACUAAAAAGAAUAAAUUUCGAAUAGUCAUUUUUUUUUUUAGGGAAAAUUUCGAAUAGUCAUAUAUUAUCUUUAUGGAUAGAAAGGUAAAAUGUCAAUUAAACUUCAAAGAACAUUUUGCUAAACGAUCAAAUAUAUUUAUGGUUAGAAGCUAAAAUAUAUUUAUAGUUUUUUAGAUGUAUCUGACUAACAUUUCAUCUUCUCUUCAUUAUAAUGACUCACUUUAAUAGUAGCAGUUUAUUUUUCUUGUUAGUUUAUGUCUUUGUUUUAAUGAUUUAUAAAUUUUCACACUAUUAGAUUUGAGAGAAAAAAAUAAACAUUUUUAAUUUCAUUUAUGUGAAAAAUGAUUAACUCAAUAAUUUUUUUUAACUAUUUAUAGAUGUUCUUUUAACAAAAAUUUAGGAUGAGUAGAUCGUGGCCUGUCUAGUCCAAGACAGAGAAUAAUUUUAAGCUCAAAGAGUAUUUACAAAAAUAUUUACAUUUAUCCAACUUCAAAGAUACUAGUGGAACUCACACCCGGAACCUCUCUAAUUCAAGACUUGUCUUUUACCACUAGACCAAACCAUUAAAAUUCUAUAGAUGUUGUAAUAAAAUAACUUACAUGAAAGUUUUGAGAGGGCAAUUUAUUAUAGAAUAAUUAGGUUACAUGGGAUAAAGAAAAUUUCUAGUUCAAGUAUUAACCAAAAACAAAAAAUCUAGUUCAAGGAAAAAUGGGAGUGGGGUUGACGAAUUUGAGGUCAAAUAACAUUGCUCUCCUAGGUACUCAAUCUUGAAUGAGUAAGUAAAAGAAACCAAAAAGUUAUACAUGUUUGAUCAAAACUUAGACCAAAUACAAGGCUCGGGCUAGCGUGAGCGAUCAACAUAGGUCUCUCACAGUGCAAACUGAUUGGUGUCCAUUAGAUAUAUUAUUAUUAAAUGCUGCCUUCAAGAUGUUUUACUGGAAACUUUUGCAACAGUGUUUAUUAGGCAUUAAAAAUUCUAUUAAAAGUAACAGGUCAUAAAUUCUGAUAAAUCAUUUGCAAAAUUAGUGGGUUGGCACGUGUUGCAGAUAAAGACAAAAAAGUGACAGAUCAAGCAUUAAGAUGGGCUUGUUUUAUGGGUAAGGCAAUGGACUUGUUUGUUUGUUCAAAGUUAGUGGGCCUAUUCGGCAGUCGAGAAAAAACAUUAGAAGUAUGCUACCAUCACCUCCCAAAUUUGCUUAAAAGUUGAAAAGUGAUAUUUGUGAGUUAAGUGAUGUUUGGUAUUUUAAGCGGGAGUUAGCACAAGUAGACACGUAAAUGAUAUUAUCAGAUUAUCGAAUUUAAAGCUUUUCCAUUUGAUAUGUUCAGGAAUAAUCUACUAAAAAAAGAUAAAAACAUAGAUUUGUCUAUUGAUAAUACAUUUUUAAGAAAAUCGCACGUAGGCACGUGAAUGAGGACAAAAAAUCAACGAAGAUCAAUUUUAAAAGUAAGACACAUUUUAAAAGAUAGAAACAUAUAAGCGUCUAUUGAUGAAAUUUAGAAAGAAAAAAAAAUUAAACUUGAUAUUAAGAGAUUAGUAGUAAUUUAUUUUUUAUUUUUUUACAAAAGUCCGUUUGUAUAAAGCUUAAAAUUGAAAUGUAAAUAAAUCGAAGGUUACUAACUUCUAAGGUAAUUUAUUAUUGGGUUAAAUAUAUUUUUGGUCCCUAUAAAUAUGUUAACUUUUCGUUUUAGUGCCUCUAAAAUUUUCCUUCAACUUUUAGUCCCUAUAAAGUUUUCAAUCACUACUUUUGGUCCCUAUUUUUAAUUUAAUUUUUGUAUUUUUUAAUGAAAUUGUGCAGAAAUGUGUUAAAUAUUCUAAAAACAAUUCCUAAAAAAAUUAGAUUUGUUUAACAAAACACAAAUUAAAUAUGAAUUUUUAACCAUAAACAAUAUAAAAAUUCAUAUUAAAUUCAUGUUUUGUUAAAAAAUUCUUAAUUUUUUUUGGAGUCAUUCUUAUAAUAUUUUGAAUUUUUCUGAAAAAUUUUAUUAAAUAAUAUGAAUUCUACAUAUGAGUUUACUUUAAAAGAGGGACCAAAAGUGAAGAUUGAAAACUUUAUAGUGACUAAAAGUUGAAGGAAAAUUUUAGAGGGACUAAAACUUAAAGUUGACAUAUUUAUAGGGACCAAAAAUAUAUUUAACCCUUUAUUAUUUUAAAGAAAAGUCCUUAGAUGAAGGUUAUUUUUGUGGUACUUGAACUCUUAAAGAAUGAUAAAAAAUUUAGUCUUUUGUAAUUUUUACAAAAUUUAAUUACUUUUUGUCCAUGUUUAAAUUUGGUGUACGUAGUUAGGUACAUUGUUGGAUGAAAAUAAAAUCGUAAUGUUUGAUGAAAUUUAAAACAUUGUUUUGUGUUUUAUCUUUUUAAUUUUAUUUUAAUGUUGAAAACAAAACAAAAAUAUCGUAUAAGCAAAACACAACAACCGAUCCAAUCCAAAAUGCAUUUGUUUGAUUUGGUUUGGUUUGGUUCGGAUUUUAUUUUUAAAGUCAACCGAACCAAAUCAAACCGCAUACUUUUUCAGCUUACGGUUCGGAUGAAUUUUAGCCUCAAAAUCGAACCAAACCGCACUGCAAAUACCCAUACGUUUGACAUUUUAUGCGGGAGUUAACGCACUUAGGAACGUGAAUGAGUAAAACCAAAUAGGAGGAGAUUAAUUUAAAAAAUAAGAUAGGUUAAAACCAAAUGGGUUGAUAAUAUCGGAUUAGAAGAAAAAAAAUCCACUUGUUAACGAGAUCAUUAACCUAUUAAAAAUAAGAUACAUACAUAGAAUUGUCUAUUGAUGUAUUUUUAUAUAAUGAGUAAUAUUUUUUUAUUAAAGCUUAAAAUUGAAACGUAAAUGUAUUGUCAUCAAUAAAUGAACUAAGUUAGUUUUUUAUUUUUAAGAAAAAUCCUAAGAAGAAGGUUUUUUGAUUUUGUAUAUCGCAAUUAUGAACAUUUUUGUUUAUUAAGGUAAUAAUGAACCUUUUUUUAAAAUUUUAAAUAAAAAACAAUAGUAACAUUGGUAAUGUCAAUCUCCGUGAGCUUAGUUCAGUUGGUAGAGAUAUUGCAUAUUAUAUGCAGGGGUCGGGGUUCGAACCCUGACACUCCACUUCUCCACAAUUUAAUUGUGUGAGUUUUAGCCACUAGACUACUUGACAAAAAAAAAAAAAAAAACAUUGGUAAUGUCAAUGGGAGAUCAAAUAUGUGUGUUAAACCUGCUUCAAUUUUGCUUUCAGAAAAAUAAACUUUAUUAAGUCCUUUAUCAAAAUACAUUUUUGGUUUUAUUAAGUCCUUUAUUAAUUACAUACAAUGGCAUUGAGAAUGCAAAUGCAACAAAGCGAUUUCGGAAAGGAUUCAUAAGAAGAAUAUGAUGUAAGCGGGGGCCCACAUCUUCUUCUUUUCGUACAUCUCAUUGAUCCAAUUGUUGUUUUCUAACCCAAACUUUUGAACCAUCUCAGACCACAGAUCUUCAAAUUUGUUAAUCUCAAUGUCAGUCAGCAUGCAUUUUUUCAGAUAAGACAUAAAAUCAGGAAUCCCAAUGUUGGUGCAAGCAUUCCUUAACAGAUGCCAAGCACACAACCUGUGGUGCGCUGCAGGAAAAACCUUUUUAAUGGCAUUUUUCAUUGCAAGGUCUCCAUCUGUUAUAACUGACAAAGGAGGUUUACCGUUCAUUGCACUCAAAAAUUGUUCCAACAACCAUACAAAUGUGUCUUCGGUCUCCCGCGUUACUAUACCAGUCGCAAAAACAAUGGUCUGAUUAUGGUGAUUAACACCUGAGAACACAACAAACGGACAAUUGUACUUGUUCUUCCGAUAAGUUGCAUCGAAGGCCAAAACAUCUCCAAAUAUCUCAUAAUUCAUACGACUUUCACCGUCACACCAGAACAGACGCUCAAGGCUCCUAUCAUCAUCAAUACAACUUUUCACAAACAUAAGAGGAUCGUUUGUGCAAAGAUCUCGAAGAUAGUUAACUGCACCAGAAGCAUCAGAAAACAAUGAUUUGCGUUGCCUCGCAACCUAGUUGUACAAAACCUUUUUAACAAAUCCUACCUUAUGAAAAUUCCCGGAAGCAUUUGCCAAAGACCCAUACAUUUGGUAAGGUCGUAUCCCUGCUUCUCGAUUACGAUCAAUUUCAGCUAUGUCGGCCUCACUCUAUUUUCUGUACGUCGGCAACAUUCCACAAAGAGUACCACCUCCUUGCUCAAACAGAGGAUUCGAAGCUUGUGAUCUUCCAUCCAUGUAUCUGAGUACCAACAUUUUAUAUCAAUCAGGGUUAUGACAACUUGAAUAAAACCUAAACAUGUACCGUACAAAAACCCAACCAGCAUUAAUAUGUUGCAUAAUUAUACCAACACAAAGGCAAACCAUGUCUCUGAAUUUCAAACAUAGUAGUACUACAACAUGAAUAGGGGCAGAUCGAUUGUCAUUUUCAUCAAACUAAUAAUACCUCCACUAUAAUCAACAAAACAACCAUUUUUGUUUAAACCAAAAUGGAUUAAGAAAAAAAGAACAAAAAAAAACAUUAAGGAAGAUCAGCAUCCAAUCCGAAAAACUAAUAAAUAUGAAGUCUUUAAACAAAACAUGAGAUAUGCUAACCAAAAUGGAUUUAGAAAAAAAAAAAAAAAAGAUGGAAUCUAGAUCCUGCAUACAAUCCGAAAAACUAAUACAGAUGAAGUUUUUGAAAAAAAAAAACAUGAUUAGAUGCCAAAAAAUAUCUUACUGAUCUUUAAUCUUCAGCUCAGAAUAAGCCUCCUGAGUAUCGACUGGAUUCUUUUCUUUUAUCUUAGAUCACUCCUUCACAAAUGUUUUUUUUUUUAAGGAACAAAUGUUAAAUGUUUGGCUUUCAGAUUUACUGUUUGACUAUUUUAUAUUAAAUCACCUUAAUUUGUUUUGUAUUUAUUGAAGAUACAAAAAUGGAAAAAUAUAUUAAAUGUUAUUAAUAAAAAAUUGGUAAAAACCGGCUUCACCUAAUAUAAACGGUACAUUUGCAAGUUUCACCGUGAGAGACCUAUAAGGCUUGCUCACGUCAGAAGGCGCCAAAUACAAUUGACUUUUUAUACCUUGCAUACCCUAAACUGACCAAAGACACCAAAACCACUCCCACUUACUAAUUUUUACAUUGCACACUUCUCUUUAAACUCAAACUCUCAACUCAAAAUUCCUUUUAACAUUAACUACAAUAUUGCUCUCACCAGCAACAACUUUCUAUACAUGCCACCUGCUUGCAUCCGCAACCAUAACACUAGGGCUAGGCCCAUCCCAAAUCACCUUUAUCUUCUUUCUUGCACCAACUAAUGCUACCUCGUGUUGUGCUCGCGCUAACAACUCACUGCACAUGAUAGCUACAACCUCCAUGACUCCACCGUGAGUCUGACCCCUAGUAUGAUGAUCAUACUUUGCGAUUCGCCAGUGGAACUACAUAUUUGGUAUCUAUCCAUUCCAUAAUAAAUUUCAUGUUUAAAAUUUAAAAAAUCAUUUAUGUGUGGAAUGAUUAUUUUAUAUCAUUUUUUAAAUUAUGAAUAUUAUGGAUGUUAGACCUCCACAAUGUGACAAACUAAAAGUAUGUUUGGAUGACGAGUUUUGAAGGAGAAUUGUGGAGAUAUUUUAUAUUGUUUUUUAAAUUAUGAACACUAGAUGUUUUAAAAAUAAAUUAAAUGUGAUUGAGAUAUUAUAUAAUCAUUUAUCAUGUUUUUAUUUCAAUAUUUUUAAAAUAUCAAAUAUAAUUCACAAUAAAGACUUAGUGUAAGUUUGGUUACGUGUUUCGGCACCUCAAGCACGCGUUUUUGUCAGUAAACGUGAUUCUUGUCUCUUGCAAAUAUGUUUGGCUAUUUCUUUAAGAAUCGAUUUUAUCUCCCAAACUCGAUUCUAUCAAAAGCCAGGAAUCUUAGAUUUUACGGUGAAUCCAAAAUCUAUUCUCAAUUUGCAUUUGGGUUACAAUUUCAGAAUUCAUUUUAUCCCUGUAUUGCCUUAACAAUUAUAUCAAUAUAAUUCUUACUAGGACUCAAUAAUCUGAACCAGAUCUCCUAUAUCUACCCCCUAAAUUGUUGCAUGUUUCUGUUCUAUAUGACUCAAUAAUCGAGAUGGAAUUUAUUUGAUGAGGGAAAAUGAAUAUGAAAUAUGAGAGAUGGGGAAAGAGAAUUGAUAGAAUGGAAGAAGAAAAUUGAGAAAUAAGAGAAGGAGGGAGGAAUGUUAGAGGGGUGACAAAUAUUACGAGCUAUGUUUGAAGGUUAUGACUUUUGUAGUUCUUAAUACUCCGUUGGUUGAUCGGAUACCUAAUGAUCGAAUGGUUUGGAAACCAGAAAAAAAUGGUUUAUAUUAUGUUAGAGGUGCGUACAUGCUAUGUGUCGAAGAGUUAGUCGAUACUUCUCAUCUACGGCGUUCGAGUUUUUGGUCGGGUAUUUGGUGCAUAAAAGUGCCACCGAUGGUAAACCAUAUGGUUUGGUGGAUGUGUCGUGGAUGCUUGCCAACUCGAGUUCGUCUAGAAGAUAAAGGGGUGCAUUCUCUUUGAUUGGUUAAAAUUCACAUGGAUCCCACCAUAUCAUGUGUGACCCCUAUGAAUUUCAACCAAUCAAAGAAAGUGUGUUGACAAGUGUAUGUUAAAAUGUGUGUUGCUAGCAUUUCUCUUAUCCAUAUUUUUUUCCGGCUCUCACACGGAUUUCCGAACCAUCAAAGGUGGGCAACUAAUCAGGCUCAUGCGUAGAAGCAUGCACACUGGUCAAACGUUGUUCCCUCUGAAAAUUGAACUCAAUAUUCCUCGGAUAUGUCCUUAGAAGGAGCUCCUUGAUCCUAGAGUCUAAACAACUUGAUUUCUGAAAUCCAUAUUUUAAAUCCGAAAAAAGAUGCUCUUAGUCGCUUUAUGAUAUUAAUUUUUUAAGAGGUUAUAUUAAAUUUAUAUGGGUUUAAAAGAUGCUCUUACAUAAUUUUUGUUUAAAAAAGAGUCGAAGUUCUGUACGUAAUUACAGUCAUUAAAUAGUCAGUGAAUGACAAAAAGAUAGGGUCAAAAUAAGUAAUAAAUUCCUGAAAAGUAGGAUCUAAGUAAUUUAUGUUGCUCUCAUGUCAUGAUUAAUAUAAGUUAUCUUGUUAUUUAUAGUCCACCCGUAUCAAAGCAGAGUGAUCUAUAUCAUCUUUCUGGCUUAUUCAUGUUAAUAUUAAAAAAAACUCAGCUGAUAAACUUGUUUGUCACCCACCCGUACGUAAAUUGACGUGUGCCUUUCUAUUUUUUUUUUACUCCCUCAGUUUCAAAAUAUAAGCAAAUUUUACUUUUUAGGUUCAUUCAAUUAAUGAUGUAUGUGGUUUAUAACCACAUACAUCAUUAAUUGAAAACCACAUACAUCAUUAAUUGAAUGAACCUAAAAAGUAAAAUUUGCUUAUAUUUUAAAACGGAGGGAGUAAGUCAUACAUAAUUAUUUUAUUCCUCUUGUGUUUUUUUCAACAUGAUGAUUAAUUCCAAACAUUAAGAAAAAUAAACAUACUAUACUUUUGAUUUUUGAAAAAUUAUUUUCCAAUUUUUUAUAUUUGUUACCUUUGAAAAAUGAUCAUAUUUUAAUUUUUUUUUUCAAAGAGUCAAAUGACUAAACUCAUAACACUGAAUGCAGAGAAAUAAAGAAUUAUGAGUUUAAAUCCACACCCCUUAAUAUCUAAUGUCCCUCCAAUUCUUUUUAUCAUUUGGGUUAAAUUUUUUAUAGAAAAUAAUUUUUUUUAAGAAGCCAAAAUGAAAUUAAUAAUCACCAAGAACGAAUUAUCUCGCACAAGGUGUGUUAAGAGAAUCAUUCCUCAAAAGAAUACAAAUCCAGUAUCUGUUGCCAAAAAAAAAAACACAGCUACAGAGAUGAAUAAAAACUACUCCAUAACACUCAUACAAGUUAAAGGGUGCCGCCACCAGUCAUUAUAACUGAAAGCUGAAGUGAACAUAUGAGCCUUUAGCCAAGAAAAAGAAACAAACUUUACAUUGUCUAAUAAUUGUGUCACAUCCCAUGCUUUGUUUUUUAAAAUUAUGUUGUUUCUUUCCUUCCAAACUGUCCAAACGCAAGCAUGCUAGAUAACUUUGAAGAAAGAAUGUGUGACUCUCGGUAACCCCGCCAUGUGGCCAAAUUGAUGAAAAUGGUCAUGACCAGCAUUUGGAGAAAUGAAAGAGACACCGAGCCAUUGGUAAACCCGAUGCCAAACAAUGCCAAAGAUGUCGCAACUGAAAAAAAGAUGAGUCGUCGUCUCCGGACAACCGCAACCACCUAUGCAAUAAAUGUCUUCGUGAUGAAGUGCUCUCCUACGGAUAAGAUUGUCUUUGGUAGGAAGUCAAUAAAACUUAUUCAAUUGUGAAAAGGUCUAAUCAUAAAACAAGAAUUGUACUCAUCACACUAACAAUGAAAAAAUUAACCACCCAUAGUGGGGGAUGUAAAAUUUAUGAGGUUUGGUAACUUUUAGAGAGAGAAGUUCUAACUUCUCUCUUCUCCGUCUUUCACCUACAAACAACAAUCGUCUUCCUACAUCACCCUCCUCUCCUCCCCUUCACAUCCAAACAACAACCGCAUCGAUGUAGAUGCUUGCUGUGGUGGUGUGAUGCCUUUCAUGGCCGCAUCACUGUUCUCCCCUUUUUUCCUCCAGCGACCCUCCUUCCGAAGUUUCUCUCCUCUUCCGUCGCCGUUCGUCGGUUUUCAGGUUUGAGUUGUGUUGUCUGAUUCUGGCUGGUGGUUGUUUGUUGUUCCUUUGGUUCUUCGGAUUUAGUUCAUAUCUGAAGGCUAUAGAGAUCAGAUUGCUUCCUUCACGCCGGAUUGAGGUUAGGGGAUGUUUUGUGUCUGUUCUGCCUUUUCGCAGAAUAGCUUUCUCCAAGGUUGUCCGGCACUGUUUUCGGCGGCGCUCCGGUCGGCGUUUGCUUCGUUUUCCGACGAUGGUUGCCUUGGUCACCGCUGCUUUUGUUUUAGUUUCUUUUAUUUACGUUUUGUUUUAGGAAGUUGAGGUUGGGUGUGGUUUUGUUCUGGAUACGGUGACUCUGUUUGAAAAUCUUUCAUCUGGUUUUACUGGAUUUAGGAUGUGGAUUCUAUUGUUCUUUUCAUCAGUGCGUGGAUUUGUUGGAUGCAUCCCAUGAUCUGGAUUCAACGAGUCUUAUGUUCUCCUGAGGUUGCUCGAAAGAGCUAGGUGCGUAGAUGCUCCGUGUUGACGGUAGUUGUCGUUCGUCGUACCUUAAGAACUAUAUCUGCUGCGGUUGCUUCAUGCUCUGCGGUGGACUGUGUUGGAGUUCCUUCGUUUGUUCAUCCCUCGAUCUGGACAACGAUUGGAUUGGUUCGGCCCGAAAGGGCGUGUAUGACUUGCUGUUUAGGGAGUUGCUGGAACUUGAAUCAGACUGUGUUGACAGAACGCCUAUUUAGAAGCUUGAAACACUAGAACUAUGUUUUUUUGCAAUUUGGUUUCGCGUCCAUACGUGGGUGCGCUGGAUUGUCCGUGGUUGUUGCUGUUUUGAGUUUUGCUUUUUACCCUUUUGGUGGUUUAUUUUAAUCUUAUUUCUAUUUUGCUUAAAAAAAAAAACCACCCAUAGUAAAAUAUUUAAACAACAAGAAAAAAAGAAAUAACCCAAAAGAAUUUACGACACCGUCGACAUCACCCGUCUUAAUCGUUCUCGAUCGCUCUAUUUUCCCUCCCCUCUUUUCCUCUUCUUAUGGACGUCGCAACUUCUCUACAAAUCAUAGUUUUAAUCUUUAUUAAAUACUAAAUCACAUUGUAUGCUUUGCUCAACAACAAAAAAUCAAUUUGUAAAAAAAAUCAUAUAACCUUUAUCUUAUUAAAAUAUAUAAAAAGGAAAAGAAUUUAAUUUUAUGAAAGCUUAAUUGUGAAAAAUAUAUUUAUGGAUAAAACAUGAGAAACAAUUACGUUAGCAUAUCUCUACCUUAUCCUAAUAUCACAUAUAAAAUAAAACUGAGGAGUAGUUAAUCAUAAAAAAAUAUAAACAUGUCUCAAAAACAAAUAAUUAAUCUUUAUCCAGGAAAUACAAGUCGGAUUGGAAGACUUUUCAUAAAUUAUUAACGAAUAAAAAGUUACUCAUAUAUUUGUAAUGAAACCGUCAAUGAUAGGAUUUUCUUUUUGAAAGGUCAGUGAUAGAAUUUUCAAUGUGUUAUUGUUGAUCCUUUAAAAAAAAAGUGUUAUUGUUGAUUUUUUUUCCAAGUUAUAUUAUUUGAGUCUAAUUUUAUAUUUGUGAGCAAAUCAUAAUUAAUCACAUGAACGACCCUUGAAAGUAGUUAUAAUUAAGGAUUUUAAUAUUUUGAUAGUUUUAUUUUUUUUAAAUAAGAUAGUUAUGACUUAUGAUUGAAUGAUAGUGAGUAAUAUUUCAUUCUAUUUUUUUUCUCUUUUAAUUGCAAGUUAAAAUAUUAUUGGCAAACCUAAUAUGACUUCAAGGUGAAAACUCCCACUUUGGUUGGAGAAACUGUGUGGCUUCCUAUUCAAAUGUUUCAUGUGGCAUAAUUUCUUCCUUGGAAUGGAUCUUCUUCAUGUCUCUCUCAGCGAAUAAAUAAUGCUCAUAAUUUGUCUUGAGCUAAAUUGAUUUGAACUUCUUACAUUCGUACUUCUAAAUAUUUUUUGCUUUGAAUACUUACUUAUUCAUAACAAAGUUCCUAUAUGUGAACAUCUUCGUUCUAAAGGUUGUAAUAUAAUCUCUAUUUGUUGUCACUAUUAUGGGGUGCAAACGAAACUUUCAAUCAUUUUUUCUCAACUGUCCCUUUUCUUAUGACAUUUGAGGUUGGAAAUAGGCUUCCAUUGGUUGUUGUAUUAAUACUUAUAAUAUUGACUACUUUGACUUUUCUUGAUAUUGAUUUUGAAUGAUGAAUUACAAAUUGUUUUGCUUGUUGUAGUUAUUAAUAUCUUUUGGUUCAGUCGAAAUCAACCGCGCUUUCAUAAUAAGAUUAUUUUUCUUCAGUUCAUACAUGAAUUAAUCAAGAGGAGUACUUCUCUUGCUUUAUCUAUUUGCACCGGUCACAUAUUAAACUCAAUUAAAGAAUUUUCAAUUCUAAAUUUUUUAGAGUGAUCGAUUUUCAUAAAAAAGCUCAAUAUAUUAUUUGGCGGAUUUAAAAUCUUCCAUGUGUUUGGUUUAAGUGUAAAUACAAAUGAUGCACCUAGACUCUAUAAACCUUUCCUUUUAGAAGUGUAACUAACAAAUAGCCUAGGUGUCUUCAAACCCACAUGGGGUGAUACUAGUACAUCAAAAAUACCAAGCAGGGAAUUAUAAAAAAUAGAAGGUACCUGAUGUAUAGUUAUCAAUUGAAAUUUUUGAGGUCUAACCAAAACAACGAUCACCUAUUUUUGAUUAACAACACUUGUUAGACCUUGGUUCUCUUGAUCCUUGUGACUUGUGAGGGGUGUGGGUGACAAAAUUGACUUAUUUGGCCUUCAAAUCCUUGAUUUGUUGAACCUCAUUAUGAACCAUGAGUUCAAAAAUGUAAUCAAGUUGUUGAGGGACUUGACAAUUAAUGUUAUGUAUCUCCAUGUCAAUCUUUUGUCCAAUAAAAGACAUUGUCAUUACCACCAGUGUUUCAAGUGGAUCAACUGGUGGUGCACACAAAGGGCCAUAAAUGUUAUCAUUCCUAACAUUUGUGAAGGCUUGUUUGGUCUUUAUUGACUUUACCUUUGUGAUACUGAUGAUAACACAUGUGAUCUUUAUGCCAAAAGUCUUUCCAGAUCUCAGGUGCAUACUCUAAACGUAGUCUUGAUCGGAAAAUUGGAUUCUUCAGUGGUAAAAGUUUGUAUUUUUCCACUGAAUGUGUCAAAUUUGUUGAUGGAGCUAGAAAUUAGUCGAUGUAUCACAUGAUGUCCUCAACCAUGUUUCUCUUUCUUCAAAUAACUAAUCUUUGAGGAAGGAAUUAUGUCCCCCCACUUUAGGUUUCGUAACUGGCUCAGUAAAGCGUCAAGUACAAUUGUUUUUGGAUUUCUUCUACUAGGCUAAGAAAUGUAUGUAAAAAUAAGAUAAAUACAAAAUGAUAAAGAAAUAAAAUA
RNAcentral lists this long non-coding RNA (20770 nucleotides) under Medicago truncatula (barrel medic). Its description in RNAcentral is "long non-coding RNA (MTRU_LNC003571)". The record is from RNAcentral. Lineage: Eukaryota; Viridiplantae; Streptophyta; Magnoliopsida; Fabales; Fabaceae.